UCAUCCCACCAGCCUGCCCGGCUGCCUGUGCCUUGCUGAAUGCCGGCAGGCUCCGACCAGGCAAUGCUUCCCCAGGGCGAGCGGGGAUGGUCGGGGUGACACAGCCAGCUGGAUGGAGCCGAAUGGUUUCUGGUGGAGAGCAGCGGGGAGGAUGAGUUCACUGCGUCAGAAUCAAGCUGUUUCCGCCUCCUCCCUGCUUAAUGGUUCGAACUGGGGCUUUGUCCCCCCCUGCACAUGCAAGGAGGUUGUGGGGGUCACAGACCUGCUGGCAGGGCAGCCUUUGUCCCCUCAGCGGGCAGCUCGGGGCAGAGCAGGCGCUCACAGCUCCUGCGUUUCCCCCUGCAAGCCCCAAGACAGAAUGACGGGUGCGCGCAUGGCUCAGGGGCUGCACGAGUGAGUCCGUAAGCAUCUGGAAUGUGGCUGGGAGCUGGGUGGAUGGACCACGUCACACGCGGGAUGCACCUCCAUCCUCAUCCUCGCGCCUCGGGGUGGGGGGGAAUGAGAGCACAUCCAACACCCACCGCUUCGGAGCGAGACGAGGGACUUCUGAAACCCCAGCUUGCUGCUUGCCCCUCCUCGCCUCAAGUGUGCCCACCCGUAAGAUGGGGUCACGCCGCGGGGCAGCACACCCCACACCCCCCCACACGCGACGCAGCGGGCGGGGGGGAGCAGCGUGCCCCGGCCAAGGCAGCUGGAGGAGGAGCGGGUCGGGGAGCUGCCGGGGUGGCCAAGGUUUCCCCAGGGGACUGAGG
Long non-coding RNA from Tyto alba (common barn owl), 752 nucleotides. RefSeq lists it as uncharacterized. The transcript has 3 exons. The record is from RefSeq and is a predicted model, not a curated record. NCBI's taxonomy places the organism in Eukaryota, Metazoa, Chordata, Aves, Strigiformes, Tytonidae.